Physeter macrocephalus (sperm whale) is the source of this 537-nucleotide long non-coding RNA. RefSeq lists it as uncharacterized. The record is from RefSeq and is a predicted model, not a curated record. The transcript has 3 exons. Lineage: Eukaryota; Metazoa; Chordata; Mammalia; Artiodactyla; Physeteridae.
AAAGGGAACAGCACACAAGCUACCUGUUGCCCUUCGGAUUGAUGGCUUGAAAGAAGGAAAUACAGAUGAAAUCUCUCCGUGACUGAAGCAGCAGUGACAAGGGAACACCAGGGAAGUCUGUCUGUUUCAAGAAAAAUGGAAGAAAGCAUUGAUACUUUUGGAAGUGAAGAACAUUCCUUUCUGUGUGAUUGAUUUGCAAACGCCCCACCCACUCCACUCAUUCAUAUCACUUGCCAGCCACAGCAGCGAGAUGGGGGAACAACAAGAUGCCUGUUGCCUGGUCUCCUCCAACUUUCUCACCCUCUCUGAAGUCCCGCCACCUGUUUGUCAGCCCCGGACAGCACAGGGGAGCCUUACAUGGGAGAGAGCGUGCCACGGAAAUGCAGUUUCGGGAUUUGGUUCCUCCCUUCUGCUCUGAGAUGAUGCCUGAUGGCUGAGGAUAGAAGGUGUAGUGUCUGGCAAGCUCCUUUCACACGCGGAAUUGACCUCACACCGCGGGGGGCGGGGGAAUCUGUUCACUCACCCCAAACAACAACA